Molecule: long non-coding RNA, 326 nt
Organism: Centruroides sculpturatus (bark scorpion)
Lineage: Eukaryota; Metazoa; Arthropoda; Arachnida; Scorpiones; Buthidae
Exons: 3
Source: RefSeq, a predicted model, not a curated record
CAGAAUACUAGAAGAAGUCACAUAAACACAUACUCUACUUCUCAGUAUACUAUUUUUAUUCUCAAAAAUUGGACGUUAUUUCGAAAAUUUCAACUUAAAGAGGAUCAUUUUAAUAGAAAAGAGUUGGACAGAUUCUCGGGAGACAAACGGAAAUGAAUGUUUAGUUUUGACAUCAACGACUCGAUGGGGGAAGAUAUUGACCCUUAUUUAAUUAUUCAAGCCAACUUUAACUUUUCAAAUGUUAUUGGACAGACGGAAGGAUUUUAUUAUUCAGCAUUAAUUCCAUAUAAUAAAAGAUAAAUUUCAUGUUUACGUAUGAAGAAUAU